RNAcentral lists this ribosomal RNA (738 nucleotides) under Trifolium repens (white clover). RNAcentral's name for it is "eukaryotic LSU rRNA". The stretch from base 298 to 453 matches the Rfam family "5.8S ribosomal RNA". Lineage: Eukaryota; Viridiplantae; Streptophyta; Magnoliopsida; Fabales; Fabaceae. The record is from RNAcentral.
UUGGAAGUAAAAGUCGUAACAAGGUUUCCGUAGGUGAACCUGCGGAAGGAUCAUUGUCGAUGCCUUACAUGCAGACCAACACGUGAAUCAGUUUGAACACAUAGGGUUGGUUUGAGGUGUUCAACACCUCGGCUUGCCUCUGGUUCGGAGGAGGACGAUGUUGUGCGUUCUCCUUUGUGCCAAAACACAAACCCCGGCGCUGAAUGCGUCAAGGAAUUUAAAAUUUGCUCUGAGCGCACCUGCAUGGCACCGGAGACGGUUUUCGUGCGGGUUGUGUUCUGACACAUAAUAUAGAAUGACUCUCGGCAACGGAUAUCUAGGCUCUUGCAUCGAUGAAGAACGUAGCGAAAUGCGAUACUUGGUGUGAAUUGCAGAAUCCCGUGAACCAUCGAGUCUUUGAACGCAAGUUGCGCCCGAUGCCAUUAGGUUGAGGGCACGUCUGCCUGGGCGUCACAUAUCGAAGCCUCUCGCCAAUUUCCUAUAUUGAUAGGGGUAUUGUGCAGGGCGAAUGUUGGCCUCCCGUGAGCUUUAUUGCCUCAUGGUUGGUUGAAAAUCGAGACCUUGGUAGGGUGUGCCAUGAUAGGUGGUGGCUGUGUUACGCACGAGACCAAGUAAGUCAUGUGCUGCUCUAUUGAAUUUAGGCCUCUUUUACCCACAUGCGUUUCGAAACGCUCGUGAUGAGACCUCAGGUCAGGCGGGGCUACCCGCUGAAUUUAAGCAUAUCAAUAAGCGGAGGAA